RNAcentral lists this unclassified non-coding RNA (263 nucleotides) under plant metagenome. RNAcentral's name for it is "partial contains small subunit ribosomal RNA, internal transcribed spacer 1, and 5.8S ribosomal RNA". The record is from RNAcentral.
UUUCCGUAGGUGAACCUGCGGAAGGAUCAUUAUUGUAUAACCGAGGUGCGAGGGCUGUCGCUGACCCGAGAGGCCGUGCACGCCCGAGUGCCCUCACACACAUCCAUCUCACCCCUAUGUGCACCACCGCGUGGGUCCCCCUUUGGCUUGUUCGGAGGGGGGCUUACGUUUUCACACAAACUUUGUAUGCAGUGUAGAAUGUAUUUUUUGUUUUUGCGAUCACGCAAUCAAUACAACUUUCAACAACGGAUCUCUUGGCUCUC